UGGUUGCUAGUUGCUACGCCUUUUUUCUUUUUUGAGAUGAGAUGAGAGGUGGGGCGCUCGUCUCUCCGGGCUCCGGCGACGGCCGUGCCAGGCAGCAGCGGCUGCGCGGGCCGAGCAGCCGGAGUGUCGGCCCCAUCCUGUUGUGUUUAGUCAGUCACCGAAUUGUGGGCCCGUGUCCGGGAGCGACCAAACCGGAAUCACGAUCCUCCUGAUCCGGGUCCGACCCAACCGCCGCCACUCGCUCGCUCCAAACCCUAGCUAGCUACCUACCUCGCGCCGCCGUCUCCGGCGCCCUCAACCCUGAGCCCUUCCGCAGCGUCAACCGCCGGCGGCUGUGCGCGGUUCCCCUCCCCAGCGUGGCGCUCUUCAGCAUCUCCGCCCACCCCGAGGGCGCCGGCCUCCACAACGUCUUCAGCUCAUCCCGGACAGUGAGGUGAGUAGUCUCCAACAGCGGGCACCAGAUGGUGGCUUCUUUGGGGGCAAGCUCCCAGUGCAUGCUCAUAGGUGAAAAAUACUUGGGGAUCAGUAUUUGCUGUUUUUCCAAGGUGGAAUCAUCAUAUAUCCUCCUUUGUUAGUUUUCUGUUAUGCUUCCGAGUUGUAUGACUAGAUCAUUAGUAACAGAUUCUGUAAGUUGUUCUGUAUGCAAGAUGGUGGCAGAGUGAGUAUGCUCUUUCAGAUUUUGCCUCUUGCAUGCAAGAUGGAUCGGCAUUCUGGCUUAAUCUUUGAUAUCUGUUGUUGUUGGUUCUUUUCGAAAUGGAACUUCAGUAUCACACAAUGCAGUAAGACCCGAUGGACCACCGUCCUGGUCCUUUCAAAAUUGUGAUGGUGGAUCACACAGGAAGUUGCUCUGCAUUGGGAAAAGGAAGAAGCAAGAGCUAGGGUGCCCUCUCCGCUCCUGCUUGGCGUGUUAAAUGGAGUUGCAGGUCUCACUUGAAUGAAACAUUGGUUUGAUAUUCAUAUCUCAUUGUCGGGUUCAUUGACUACAAGCUCUCUGCCUCUCAUUGCACCUGCUGAUUAUGGUCUUGCAAGUUUAAAAUGCAUGCUGGCUUGCUGAGUAAUAGUGCAGUGAAAUGAAUUCCUUGAGAUUAUAUGUUCUGGAAUUUAUGGAGUGCUGUAAUAUUGUAGCUCUUAUGUGACAAGGAUAAAUAGUUUCUCAACAUAUGAUGUAAGAGCCCUUCUGGUUAUAGUAAACACGAUUCAGUAAAAAUAGUGGCCCUUCAUUCCUGAACUUUUCUCUGGAUGCAGGUGCUAGAUAUACUCUAAUUGAUAGUGCAUAUUUAUUUUAGAAUCCGAAGAUAGUUGUCGUGGCACACUUCAUGUCUGCAAGUUUACUAAAGGCAGUAAGAUUACCUUAUUGUCACCACAACGGAAGUGAAUCCUCGCCAACAGAUCUGACACCUCCUGUUUGGUAGUAGAAUAGCGUCAUAGGCUUAGUGAGCUGGACAUGUCCAUUCAAUCAUUUCAUUUUAGUAUACAUGCAAUUAUCUAUUCCUCAUUACAAAAGGAACUGAUCAAAUUGAUGAUUUUGGCAGUAGCUAUUUCUUUAAGUGAUGGAUGCAUGGCAUAGUUACUAUUUACAAAAUCAUUCACUACAAUAUCCUGUUCGUAAUAAUUUUGUCCUAAUACGCUGGGCUGAAUGCACCUACUUUCACUCUUUAUAACAAGGGUGGUCUGAAGUCGCUACUUGACUACUCGAUGCAAGUUUCGGUUACUGUUUACAAUCAUUCAGUAAUAUUUCAAUAUCCCGUUCAUAGGGAUUUUGUCCUAAUACUCUUGACUGAAUGCAGCUGCUUUUGCUCUUUACAGCCACAACAACCAACGUGGCAAUUUGCAAAUCUGAUUGCAUGAAUUAUGAGGAUGAUCCUGUUGUACACAUGUUAAUUGGAUCGAAUUGACGUUCGUGACGUAUGAUAUCUGGUUUACUUUUCUGUACCCUCUUGCAUGCGACAUUUUUCCUUAAUUCGAAGAUAAUUGUUAUUUGGAUUAGGUACAUCGGAGCUUAUAGAAGAAGACAUCAGCCAGCAGGGUUGGGAGUGAUAUGUUAUGGAUUAUGGGAGUGAUAUGAAUGCCCGGCAACAAUCUUUGUUUCUCCAUGACUCUGGUUGGGAAGUUGUGAGUGUGUAUAUCACCAUGUUAUAUGUGCCACACCAUCAUUAUUUAUGAAAUUGGCAUCUUUCCUAUUUAGAAAAGAUGUGCUCUUUCUGCAAACUAGAUUCUGUUCAACUAUGUAUUCAUCAAGGCAGUAAGCUUCACUUUCUCCCUAAGGUAUGUGGGUUUCCCUUAUAGAGCUGUUAUCUCCAGAGAACAUUCCGUGGAUAGAGAAAGGGGUUUAUGAGAUUGACAAUUGCAUGUUUAGACUAUCCAACCUAGCAGGGAUAGAAGUUUGAAUACUCUGGACUUGUAUUUUUUUUUUUUGGUUAUGAACAACACUAGCAUAGUAAUUAAUGUCGAUAGUCCAAAAAUAAUGUUGACAUAGUGAAUGGCUUGCGUCAUAUGAGAAAUUUAUUUGGUAACUACAUCGUCGUGCCACAUGGAUUGGAUGUCAACGGUAGUCAUCUCACCCAGUACACCUUUUGCAAUAAUAAUCACAGCAAAUCAAAAUUUUGUUGUGCUGUCUAUGUAUCUAACUGGCUGUGAUCGGAGUUAGAUCAUUUUCUGGUAGAAGGAAAGACAUGAUCUUAUCGGUAACUUUAGGCAGUAGGAAUCAUUGGAUCAUUUUGCAUUAAUGAUGUUAGCUUUUGGGGAGGCAAUUGUUUUGCAGUGCAUCCCUUUCCUAAGCAGAGCGAAAUUUAUCUGACAUGUAAUGCAUUCAGAUUGUGGUGUUGCUUACAUUUUCAGCUUGUAGCCGAGGACUGGAAUAGGUUGAGAAUCCUGAGCCGCGGAGGAAAGCGGGUUAAUUAGAUACACCAACCUAUGGAUGAAAUAACCAAACUAACUCGCAAGAAAAUAGUCUCCAUGGUCUGAAUGUCCAAACAGCGACCACAUAUAUGCUUUUGCUCUUAUUGGCAGGGCUUCAGGAGACAGGAGCCUUGAUGCGCUGAAGAGAGGGGCUGUGCUGCUGAGGACCAAUUCUGUGGAUCUGAUGUGAGUCCGUGGAGAUGCUGCUAGCGACAACCCUACGGUAACGAAGUGAAGGUUUUGCUGUUGCUGCAUUUGGCUCGGUCUGUGUGUCUUGGGGGUGUCCUUUGCGAUCAUCCUGGUUACCUUUCCGUAUGUAAUGAAGUGGUUGUGAUACUGUGGUUCCAGUUAUGCCUUUUGCCUUUCCAGCUA
Triticum dicoccoides is the source of this 3270-nucleotide long non-coding RNA. RefSeq lists it as uncharacterized. The record is from RefSeq and is a predicted model, not a curated record. The transcript has 2 exons. Lineage: Eukaryota; Viridiplantae; Streptophyta; Magnoliopsida; Poales; Poaceae.